GUGAGUCAUCGAGUCUUUGAACGCACCUUGCGCUCGUUGGUAUUCCGACGAGCAUGCCUGUUUGAGUGUCAUUAAAUUCUCAACCUCAACACUUUUGUGAUUGAUGGCUUGGAUGUGGAGGUUUUUCUGCAGGCUGUUAAAGUCUGCUCCUCUCAAAUGAAUUAGUGGGUGCCCCGCGCAAACCUAUCUAUUGGUGUGAUAAUUAUCUACGCCGUGGAUUAUAGGAUUGCUGUAAAAAGGUGUUUGCCCUGCUUCUAACUGUCCUCUGGACAACUUGAACCAUUUGACCUCAAAUCAGGUAGGACUACCCGCUGAACUUAA
This 321-nucleotide ribosomal RNA is filed under the name uncultured fungus. RNAcentral's name for it is "eukaryotic LSU rRNA". The stretch from base 1 to 71 matches the Rfam family "5.8S ribosomal RNA", at positions 84 to 154 of the family's 154-position model. The record is from RNAcentral. Lineage: Eukaryota; Fungi.